This 257-nucleotide ribosomal RNA is filed under the name uncultured prokaryote. Its description in RNAcentral is "partial 16S ribosomal RNA". It matches the Rfam family "Bacterial small subunit ribosomal RNA", at positions 524 to 780 of the family's 1533-position model. The record is from RNAcentral.
UACGGAGGAUGCGAGCGUUAUCCGGAUUUAUUGGGUUUAAAGGGUGCGUAGGCGGCUUUUUAAGUCAGCGGUGAAAUUUUGCAGCUUAACUGUAACAGUGCCGUUGAUACUGGGGAGCUAGGAUUUGGUUGCUGUGGGUGGAAUGUGUGGUGUAGCGGUGAAAUGCUUAGAGAUCACACAGAAUAUCGAUUGCGAAGGCAGCUCACAAAGCCAAGAUUGACACUGAGGCACGAAAGUGUGGGGAUCAAACAGGAUUA